Molecule: transfer RNA, 75 nt
Filed under: Accumulibacter sp.
Lineage: Bacteria; Pseudomonadati; Pseudomonadota; Betaproteobacteria
Description: tRNA-Leu
Rfam family: tRNA
About the family: Transfer RNA (tRNA) molecules are approximately 80 nucleotides in length. Their secondary structure includes four short double-helical elements and three loops (D, anti-codon, and T loops).
Source: RNAcentral
GUGUGGAUAGCUCAGGGGUAGAGCGAUCGGCCAAACGCCGAUAGGUCGCGGGUUCGAAUCCUGUUCCAUACGCCA